UUCAUUAAUCGUUGAUUGUUUUCAACUAACCACAAAGACAUCAGAAUACUAUAUUUAGUAUUCGGCGCAUCAGAGGGAAUAGCGGGCACCACCUUAAGCCUUCUAAUUCAAGCAGAAUUAGGCCAACCAGGAACUCUGCUAGGAGAUGAUCAGAUUUACGAUGUUACUGUUACCGCCCACACAUUCGUCAUAAUUUGUCUUUAUGGUAAUACCAAUCAUAUUUGGGGGUGUUGGCAACUGGCUAGUCCCUCUGAUGAUUGGUGCACCUGAUACGGCAUUCCCCCGGAUAAAUAAUAUGAGCUUCUGACUUCUCCCCCCAUCUUUUCUACUCCUACUUGCAUCUUCAGUAGUAGAAGCCAGCGCUGGAACCGGCUGGACAGUUUAUCCCCCUUUAGCAGGAAACCUAGCAGGAGCCUCUGUGGAUCUAACCAUCUUCUCACUCCACUUGGCAGGUGUUUCUUCUAUUUUAGCGGCCAUUAACUUUAUUACAGUUAUUAACAUAAAACCCCCAGCCUUAUCCCAAUAUCAACCACCCCUUUUCAUCUGAUCAGUCCUCAUUCUGGCAGUCCUUCUCCUCCUUUCUCUCCCAGUCCUAGCCGCUGGCAUUGCCAUAUUAUUAACUGACCGUAACCUCAAUACUACUUUUUUUGACCCUGCUGGCAGGGGUAACCCUAUUUUGUAUCAACAUUUAUUCUGAUUCUUUGGUCAUCCUGAAGUCUAUAACCUUAUCCUACCAGGCUUUGGGAUAAUCUCCCAUAUCGUAACCUAUUACUCUGGAAAAAAGGAACCAUUUGAGUAUAUGGGCAUAGUAUGAGCCAUAAUAUCAACUGGCUUCUUAGGAUUUAUCAUACGGGCUCACCAUACAUUUACAGUAGGAAUGGAUGUAGACACACGAGCAUACUUCACCUCCGCCACUAUAAUUAUUGCUAUCCCUACUGGAGUCAAGGUCUUUAGCUGAUUAGCUACACUGCACGGCAGUAGUAUCAAAUGAUCUCCCACAAUAUUCUGAGCACCUAGGAUUCAUUUUCCCAUUAACAGUAGGAGGUUUAACUGGCAUUAUACUAGCUAAUUCAUCAUUAGACAUUAUUUUACAAGACAUAUAUUAUGGUGUGGCCCAUUUCCACUAUGUUCUAUCAAUAGGAGCGGUAUUUGCCAUCACAGGAGGCUUUGUCCACUGAUUCCCCCUAUUUUCAGGUUAUAUACUUAAUCAGACGUAUGCUAAAAUCCACUUCAUCAUUAUAUUUAUAGGUGUUAAUUUAACCUUUUCCCCACAGCACUUCCUCGGCCUGUUGGUGUGCGUCGACGUUACUCUGAUUAACCUGAUACAUACACCACAUGAAAUGUUAUCUCAUCAGUAGGCUCAUUUAUCUCAUUAACAGCAGUCAUAUUAAUAAUUUUCAUAAUCUGAGAAGCCUUUGCUUCAAAACGAAAAGUUCUAACAAUUGAACAAGCAUCUACUAAUUAACAGUGACUUUACAGCUGUCCACCACCUUACCACACAUUCGAAGAGCCAAUCUAUGUGAAAACC
This 1528-nucleotide long non-coding RNA is filed under the name Homo sapiens (human). RNAcentral's name for it is "non-protein coding lnc-MTRNR2L4-2:1". The record is from RNAcentral. Lineage: Eukaryota; Metazoa; Chordata; Mammalia; Primates; Hominidae.